UAACGAUAAAGCGGGUGAAAAGCCCGCUCGCCGGAAGACCAAGGGUUCCUGUCCAACGUUAAUCGGGGCAGGGUGAGUCGACCCCUAAGGCGAGGCCGAAAGGCGUAGUCGAUGGGAAACAGGUUAAUAUUCCUGUACUUGGUGUUACUGCGAAGGGGGGACGGAGAAGGCUAUGUUGGCCGGGCGACGGUUGUCCCGGUUUAAGCGUGUAGGCUGGUUUUCCAGGCAAAUCCGGAAAACCAAGGCUGAGGCGUGAUGACGAGGCACUACGGUGCUGAAGUGACAAAUGCCCUGCUUCCAGGAAAAGCCUCUAAGCAUCAGGUAACAUCAAAUCGUACCCCAAACCGACACAGGUGGUCAGGUAGAGAAUACCAAGGCGCUUGAGAGAACUCGGGUGAAGGAACUAGGCAAAAUGGUGCCGUAACUUCGGGAGAAGGCACGCUGAUA
RNAcentral lists this ribosomal RNA (447 nucleotides) under Escherichia coli. RNAcentral's name for it is "partial 23S ribosomal RNA". It matches the Rfam family "Bacterial large subunit ribosomal RNA", at positions 1307 to 1756 of the family's 2925-position model. Lineage: Bacteria; Pseudomonadati; Pseudomonadota; Gammaproteobacteria; Enterobacterales; Enterobacteriaceae. The record is from RNAcentral.